UGCUGGAAUGCUGAGGAGACAGGAGUGAAGUAAAAAGACAUGGUUCCGGCAGGAAACAGGCAAGGAGAGCCUUGACUUGACGGAGUCUGGCUAUAUCGCCAGGCUGGAAUGCAAUGGCGCGAUCUCUCCUCACUGCAACCUCCGCCUCCCGGGUUCAAGCGAUUCUCCUGCCUCAGCACCUCGAGUAGCUGGGACUACAGGCGCGCGCCACCACGCCCAGAUGAGAAAACUGAGGCACAGAGAGGUGAAAUAAGGCCCCCAGAAUGCUCUUCUCCAAGACUUAGAAAAAUCAAAUGCUAUCCAUCCCUCAAGAUACAUCCCUCCAGCCCCUCCUUGAAGUCUCCUGCAGCUAGAAGUAGAAGUAGCAUCUAUCCCCAUCUGGACUCCUUAGCACUUUGCUGUACCUGCCUUAGUCCCCAUCUCUUUACACACACACACACACACACACACACACACACAGAGUAUUAUAAUACUAUUACCUAUUAUAUUACAUUAUAUUAUUGUAGUUCUACAGGAACUACAAGGAAUUCUACUGUGAAUUCCUUAAGGGUGGGAUACAUUUUACAAUCAUCACUGUUUCUCUCAUUAGUUGUGGAAUCAAAAAAAUGAGUGCACGAUGAAAAAUUAUUCAAACACAUACAUGCUUUCAUUCCAAUUGAAAAUGUAAAAAUAUUACUGUUAAAACAAUAUUAAAGGACAUGUAAUACAAUUCAAAUAUUCCUACCAUGCACGAUUGUUUUCACUUCUUUGUGCCUCUUUCACCAUUUAUUUGUGUGCAUACUCAGCAUAUUUGUUUGUGUAACAGGAUGUUAAAAAUAGAAUUUGUUGCCUGUAGUUUUUGCUAAAGCUCUACUAGACUGGAACAGA
RNAcentral lists this long non-coding RNA (867 nucleotides) under Homo sapiens (human). RNAcentral describes it as "non-protein coding lnc-COL28A1-1:4". Lineage: Eukaryota; Metazoa; Chordata; Mammalia; Primates; Hominidae. The record is from RNAcentral.